GGAGGAAAAGAAACUAACAAGGAUUCCCCUAGUAACGGCGAGUGAAGCGGGAAGAGCUCAAAUUUGUAAUCUGGCACCUUCGGUGUCCGAGUUGUAAUCUCGAGAAGUGUUUUCCGCGCCGGACCGCAUACAAGUCUGUUGGAAUACAGCGUCAUAGUGGUGAGAACCCCGUAACUGAUGCGGAUGCCCGGUGCUUUGUGAUACACUUUCGAAGAGUCGAGUUGUUUGGGAAUGCAGCUCAAAUUGGGUGGUAAAUUCCAUCUAAAGCUAAAUAUUGGCGAGAGACCGAUAGCGAACAAGUACCGUGAGGGAAAGAUGAAAAGCACUUUGGAAAGAGAGUUAACAGUACGUGAAAUUGUUGGAAGGGAAACGCUUGAAGUCAGACUUGCUAUUUGGAAUUCAGCCGCAAGGUGUACUUUUCAAUUCGCAGGCCAGCAUCAGUUUUCGGGGGUGGAAAAGGGUAGAGAGAAGGUAGCAAUUUCGGUUGUGUUAUAGCUCUUUGCUGGAUUCAUCCUUGGGGACUGAGGAACGCAGCACGCUUUUUGCAAGGCUUUCGAGCUUUUCGUGCUUAGGAUGCUGGUGGAAUGGCUUUAAACGACCCGUCUUGAAACACGGA
This 616-nucleotide ribosomal RNA is filed under the name Phenoliferia psychrophenolica. Its description in RNAcentral is "eukaryotic LSU rRNA". It matches the Rfam family "Eukaryotic large subunit ribosomal RNA", at positions 52 to 665 of the family's 3401-position model. The record is from RNAcentral. Lineage: Eukaryota; Fungi; Basidiomycota; Microbotryomycetes; Kriegeriales; Kriegeriaceae.